This 79-nucleotide microRNA precursor is filed under the name Fukomys damarensis (Damara mole-rat). Its description in RNAcentral is "miRNA (ENSFDAG00000004413.1)". Lineage: Eukaryota; Metazoa; Chordata; Mammalia; Rodentia; Bathyergidae. The record is from RNAcentral.
CACCUGGGGGUCUUGUUAAAAUGCAGAUUCUGACCCAAUAGGGCCUUGGAAUCUGCAUUUAUAAUAAGCUCCCUACUUA